AGCGAACGCUGGCGGCAGGCUUAACACAUGCAAGUCGAGCGGGCAUCCUUGUGGUGUCAGCGGCAGACGGGUGAGUAACGCGUGGGAACGUGCCCUUCGGUUCGGAAUAACUCAGGGAAACUUGAGCUAAUACCGGAUACGUGCGAGAGCAGAAAGGUUUAUCUGCCGAAGGAUCGGCCCGCGUCUGAUUAGCUAGUUGGUGAGGUUAUGGCUCACCAAGGCGACGAUCAGUAGCUGGUCUGAGAGGAUGAUCAGCCACACUGGGACUGGGACACGGCCCAGACUCCUACGGGAGGCAGCAGUGGGGAAUAUUGGACAAUGGGGGCAACCCUGAUCCAGCCAUGCCGCGUGAGUGAUGACGGCCUUAGGGUUGUAAAGCUCUUUUCUCCGGGACGAUAAUGACGGUACCGGAGGAAUAAGCCCCGGCUAACUUCGUG
This 437-nucleotide ribosomal RNA is filed under the name uncultured bacterium. Its description in RNAcentral is "partial 16S ribosomal RNA". It matches the Rfam family "Bacterial small subunit ribosomal RNA", at positions 29 to 507 of the family's 1533-position model. The record is from RNAcentral.